This 497-nucleotide ribosomal RNA is filed under the name uncultured bacterium. Its description in RNAcentral is "partial 16S ribosomal RNA". It matches the Rfam family "Bacterial small subunit ribosomal RNA", at positions 28 to 507 of the family's 1533-position model. The record is from RNAcentral.
GAUGAACGCUGGCGGCGUGCCUAAUACAUGCAAGUCGAACGAACAGACGCGGAUCUUGCUCCUCUCACGUUAGCGGCGCACGUGUGAGUAACACGUGGAUACCCUCCCUAUCAGACUGGGAUCACUUCGGGACACCGGAGCUAAUACCGGAUAAUAUAUUGAUCCGCAUGGUUCAAUAGUGAAUGACGGCUUUGCUGUAUCUUCUCGAUGGAUACGGGCCGCAUUAGCUGGUUGGUACGGUAACGGCUUACCAAGGCAACGAUGCGUAGCCGACCUGAGAGGCGGAUAGGCGACACGGGAGGGUAGACAGGGACCAGAGGACUGCGGGAGGCAGCAGUAGGCAAUCGGCCGCAAUGGUGGAGAGCUUGACGGAGUAAGGCCGCGUGAGUGAUGGAGAUCUUCGGAGCGUAAAACUCUGUUAUUAGUGAAGAACAAAUGUGUAAGUAACUAUGCAGUGCGUGACGGUACCUAAUCAGAAAGCCACGGCUAACUACGUG